Non-coding RNA from Desulfovibrio desulfuricans, 59 nucleotides. Lineage: Bacteria; Pseudomonadati; Thermodesulfobacteriota; Desulfovibrionia; Desulfovibrionales; Desulfovibrionaceae. The record is from Rfam.
UUGAACGCAGGGGAUGGAGUUCCCCUUGAACCGCAUUUGCUGAUGACUCCUGCCAGACC